AACUAAUGAACUUGAACAAGUAUAUAUUUUGAAAAUAUAUGAAAGAAAUUACAGCUUUCUAUUAGUUU
This 68-nucleotide transfer RNA is filed under the name Melanesthes exilidentata. RNAcentral's name for it is "tRNA-Ser". Lineage: Eukaryota; Metazoa; Arthropoda; Insecta; Coleoptera; Tenebrionidae. The record is from RNAcentral.